AUUGAACGCUGGCGGCAGGCCUAACACAUGCAAGUCGAACGGUAGCACAGAGAGCUUGCUCUCGGGUGACGAGUGGCGGACGGGUGAGUAACGUCUGGGAAACUGCCCGAUGGAGGGGGAUAACUACUGGAAACGGUAGCUAAUACCGCAUAACGUCGCAAGACCAAAGUGGGGGACCUUCGGGCCUCACACCAUCGGAUGUGCCCAGAUGGGAUUAGCUAGUAGGUGGGGUAAUGGUUCACCUAGGCGACGAUCCCUAGCUGGUCUGAGAGGGUGACCAGACAGAAUGGAACGGAGACACGGUCCAGGCGCCGACGGGAGGCAGCAGUGGGGAAUAUUGCACAAUGGUCGCAAGCCUGAUGCAGCCAUGCCUCGUGUAUGAAGGAGGCCUUCGGGUUGUCAAGUACUUUCAGCGGGGAGGAAGGCGGUGAAGUUAAUAACUUCACGGAUUGACGUUACCCGCAGAAGAAGCACCGGCUACCUCCGUGCCAGCCGCCGCCGUAA
Molecule: ribosomal RNA, 504 nt
Filed under: uncultured bacterium
Lineage: Bacteria
Description: partial 16S ribosomal RNA
Rfam family: Bacterial small subunit ribosomal RNA
Source: RNAcentral